UAGAGUACUCGGCUUUUAA
This 19-nucleotide transfer RNA is filed under the name Ephedra sinica (Chinese ephedra). RNAcentral describes it as "partial tRNA-Lys". RNAcentral also lists the same sequence under 27 other names. The record is from RNAcentral. Lineage: Eukaryota; Viridiplantae; Streptophyta; Gnetopsida; Ephedrales; Ephedraceae.